UACGUAGGGGGCAAGCGUUGUCCGGAUUUACUGGGCGUAAAGAGCGUGUAGGCGGCCACGCAGGUCCGUUGUGAAAACUCGAGGCUUAACCUCGAGAUGUCAUCGGAAACCAUCUGGCUAGAGUCCGGAAGAGGAGAGUGGAAUUCCUGGUGUAGCGGUGAAAUGCGCAGAUAUCAGGAAGAACACCAAUGGCGAAAGCAGCUCUCUGGGACGGUACUGACGCUGAGACGCGAAAGCGUGGGGAGCGAACAGG
This 253-nucleotide ribosomal RNA is filed under the name uncultured bacterium. Its description in RNAcentral is "partial 16S ribosomal RNA". It matches the Rfam family "Bacterial small subunit ribosomal RNA", at positions 524 to 776 of the family's 1533-position model. The record is from RNAcentral.